RNAcentral lists this ribosomal RNA (253 nucleotides) under uncultured bacterium. RNAcentral's name for it is "partial 16S ribosomal RNA". It matches the Rfam family "Bacterial small subunit ribosomal RNA", at positions 524 to 776 of the family's 1533-position model. The record is from RNAcentral.
UACGGGGGGGGCAAGCGUUGUUCGGAAUUACUGGGCGUAAAGGGCUCGUAGGUGGCCAACUAAGUCAGACGUGAAAUCCCUCAGCUUAACUGGGGAACUGCGUCUGAUACUGGAUGGCUUGAGUUCGGGAGAGGGAUGCGGAAUUCCAGGUGUAGCGGUGAAAUGCGUAGAGAUGUGGAGGAACACCAGUGGCGAAGGCGACUUUCUGGCCUAUAACUGACGCUGAGGCGCGAAAGCGUGGGGAGCAAACAGG